UGUAGCUCAGUUGGUAGAGUGCUUGCCUAGCAUGCAUGAAGACCUGGGUUUGAUUCCCAGCA
This 62-nucleotide transfer RNA is filed under the name Neotoma lepida (desert woodrat). It matches the Rfam family "tRNA", at positions 6 to 65 of the family's 71-position model. From Rfam's summary of the family: Transfer RNA (tRNA) molecules are approximately 80 nucleotides in length. Their secondary structure includes four short double-helical elements and three loops (D, anti-codon, and T loops). Lineage: Eukaryota; Metazoa; Chordata; Mammalia; Rodentia; Cricetidae. The record is from Rfam by way of RNAcentral.